UCAGAGAAAUAAUAAUGAUCAAAAGAGUUCAAACUUCAAAUUUUAUUAUACUCUCUGGAGAUAAAUAUUUGAGUAUAAUAAUGUAAGAUCAAAAUCAAUGUUCGAUAAAUAAUUUCAAAUUUUUUUAAUAAAUAAAGAAUUAUAAAAUUAAAUUUUAGGAUAAUAAAAAUUUAUCUCUAAAUAUUCUAAAUCUAAAAUCAAAAAUCAAAGGUCCACUCAUUCUGGAAUUAGGAUGC
RNAcentral lists this long non-coding RNA (236 nucleotides) under Elaeis guineensis (African oil palm). RNAcentral describes it as "long non-coding RNA (EGUI_LNC002561)". Lineage: Eukaryota; Viridiplantae; Streptophyta; Magnoliopsida; Arecales; Arecaceae. The record is from RNAcentral.